AGCGUACACGGUGGAUGCCCUGGCAGUCAGAGGCGAUGAAGGGCGUGCUAAUCUGCGAUAAGCGCCGGUAAGGUGAUAUGAACCGUUAUAACCGGCGAUACCCGAAUGGGGAAACCCAGUGUGAUUCGUCACACUAUCAUUAACUGAAUCCAUAGGUUAAUGAGGCGAACCGGGGGAACUGAAACAUCUAAGUACCCCGAGGAAAAGAAAUCAACCGAGAUUCCCCCAGUAGCGGCGAGCGAACGGGGAGGAGCCCAGAGCCUGAAUCAGCAUGUGUGUUAGUGGAAGCGUCUGGAAAGGCGCGCGAUACAGGGUGACAGCCCCGUACACAAAAGCGCAUGUGCUGUGAGCUCGAUGAGUAGGGCGGGACACGUGGUAUCCUGUCUGAAUAUGGGGGGACCAUCCUCCAAGGCUAAAUACUCCUGACUGACCGAUAGUGAACCAGUACCGUGAGGGAAAGGCGAAAAGAACCCCGGCGAGGGGAGUGAAAAAGAACCUGAAACCGUGUACGUACAAGCAGUGGGAGCCCCACCACCAAAGCAUUCUCUGGUGUUGAAGGCCCUGCAAAGCAGCAUCGCGGUGGCGGAGCGUCGUUUGCGACGCCCAACACACAAAACAAGCGGUGAGUGCUUUGGGGUGGGGUGACUGCGUACCUUUUGUAUAAUGGGUCAGCGACUUAUAUUCUGUAGCAAGGUUAACCGAAUAGGGGAGCCGGAGGGAAACCGAGUCUUAAUUGGGCGUUAAGUUGCAGGGUAUAGACCCGAAACCCGGUGAUCUAGCCAUGGGCAGGUUGAAGGUUGGGUAACACUAACUGGAGGACCGAACCGACUAAUGUUGAAAAAUUAGCGGAUGACCUGUGGCUGGGGGUGAAAGGCCAAUCAAACCGGGAGAUAGCUGGUUCUCCCCGAAAGCUAUUUAGGUAGCGCCUCGUGAAUUCAUCUCCGGGGGUAGAGCACUGUUUCGGCUAGGGGGCCAUCCCGGCUUACCAACCCGAUGCAAACUGCGAAUACCGGAGAAUGUUAUCACGGGAGACACACGGCGGGUGCUAACGUCCGUCGUGAAGAGGGAAACAACCCAGACCGCCAGCUAAGGUCCCAAAGUCAUGGUUAAGUGGGAAACGAUGUGGGAAGGCCCAGACAGCCAGGAUGUUGGCUUAGAAGCAGCCAUCAUUUAAAGAAAGCGUAAUAGCUCACUGGUCGAGUCGGCCUGCGCGGAAGAUGUAACGGGGCUAAACCAUGCACCGAAGCUGCGGCAGCGAACGUAUCACUUAAAGCGAUUCAGCGGGUUACGAUUGACGGAGCGAAGCGACGUCAAAGCGUAUACAAAGUCGAGUCGGUUUAAGGAUACGUUCGUUGGGUAGGGGAGCGUUCUGUAAGCCUGUGAAGGUGGCCUGUGAGGGUUGCUGGAGGUAUCAGAAGUGCGAAUGCUGACAUAAGUAACGAUAAAGCGGGUGAAAAGCCCGCUCGCCGGAAGACCAAGGGUUCCUGUCCAACGUUAAUCGGGGCAGGGUGAGUCGACCCCUAAGGCGAGGCCGAAAGGCGUAGUCGAUGGGAAACGGGUUAAUAUUCCCGUACUUGGUGUUACUGCGAAGGGGGGACGGAGAAGGCUAUGUUGGCCGGGCGACGGUUGUCCCGGUUUAAGCGUGUAGGUGUGUGUUCCAGGUAAAUCCGGUUCACUUUAACACUGAGGCGUGACGACGAGGCACUACGGUGCUGAAGCAACAAAUGCCCUGCUUCCAGGAAAAGCCUCUAAGCAUCAGGUAACACGAAAUCGUACCCCAAACCGACACAGGUGGUCAGGUAGAGAAUACCAAGGCGCUUGAGAGAACUCGGGUGAAGGAACUAGGCAAAAUGGUGCCGUAACUUCGGGAGAAGGCACGCUGACACGUAGGUGAAGUGAUUUACUCAUGGAGCUGAAGUCAGUCGAAGAUACCAGCUGGCUGCAACUGUUUAUUAAAAACACAGCACUGUGCAAACACGAAAGUGGACGUAUACGGUGUGACGCCUGCCCGGUGCCGGAAGGUUAAUUGAUGGGGUCAGCGCAAGCGAAGCUCCUGAUCGAAGCCCCGGUAAACGGCGGCCGUAACUAUAACGGUCCUAAGGUAGCGAAAUUCCUUGUCGGGUAAGUUCCGACCUGCACGAAUGGCGUAAUGAUGGCCAGGCUGUCUCCACCCGAGACUCAGUGAAAUUGAACUCGCUGUGAAGAUGCAGUGUACCCGCGGCAAGACGGAAAGACCCCGUGAACCUUUACUAUAGCUUGACACUGAACAUUGAGCCUUGAUGUGUAGGAUAGGUGGGAGGCUUUGAAGCGUGGACGCCAGUCUGCGUGGAGCCGACCUUGAAAUACCACCCUUUAAUGUUUGAUGUUCUAACGUGGACCCGUAAUCCGGGUUGCGGACAGUGUCUGGUGGGUAGUUUGACUGGGGCGGUCUCCUCCUAAAGAGUAACGGAGGAGCACGAAGGUUGGCUAAUCCUGGUCGGACAUCAGGAGGUUAGUGCAAUGGCAUAAGCCAGCUUGACUGCGAGCGUGACGGCGCGAGCAGGUGCGAAAGCAGGUCAUAGUGAUCCGGUGGUUCUGAAUGGAAGGGCCAUCGCUCAACGGAUAAAAGGUACUCCGGGGAUAACAGGCUGAUACCGCCCAAGAGUUCAUAUCGACGGCGGUGUUUGGCACCUCGAUGUCGGCUCAUCACAUCCUGGGGCUGAAGUAGGUCCCAAGGGUAUGGCUGUUCGCCAUUUAAAGUGGUACGCGAGCUGGGUUUAGAACGUCGUGAGACAGUUCGGUCCCUAUCUGCCGUGGGCGCUGGAGAACUGAGGGGGGCUGCUCCUAGUACGAGAGGACCGGAGUGGACGCAUCACUGGUGUUCGGGUUGUCAUGCCAAUGGCACUGCCCGGUAGCUAAAUGCGGAAGAGAUAAGUGCUGAAAGCAUCUAAGCACGAAACUUGCCCCGAGAUGAGUUCU
This 2958-nucleotide ribosomal RNA is filed under the name Salmonella enterica subsp. enterica serovar Anatum. RNAcentral describes it as "bacterial LSU rRNA". It matches the Rfam family "Bacterial large subunit ribosomal RNA". The record is from RNAcentral. Lineage: Bacteria; Pseudomonadati; Pseudomonadota; Gammaproteobacteria; Enterobacterales; Enterobacteriaceae.